AAUUUCACCAACUUUGCUAGAAAUAUCCGCUGCCUGAAGUGCAAAGCUGAGGGACCAAAGAAUUUAGGAGGAAGUGAUAUUGAAAUGAAGAAAGGUGAUUGGAAUUAUCCAAAGUGGGUCAAUUUUUCUCAAAAUUACAGAGAAGUCCAAGUAGACGAACAAAAAGUUGCUGGGAGCGUCUACCAGAGGAGAAACUUGUUGAAAAAUCAGCAUCCGUCAAUCAUAGUACUUUAAAAUAUUCUGGAUGGGCACAUGCCAAUGAAAGGGACAAAAAGG
Humulus lupulus (European hop) is the source of this 276-nucleotide long non-coding RNA. RefSeq lists it as uncharacterized. Lineage: Eukaryota; Viridiplantae; Streptophyta; Magnoliopsida; Rosales; Cannabaceae. The transcript is spliced from 2 exons. The record is from RefSeq and is a predicted model, not a curated record.